AGUGAACGCUGGCGGUAGGCCUAACACAUGCAAGUCGAACGGCAGCACAGUAAGAGCUUGCUCUUACGGGUGGCGAGUGGCGGACGGGUGAGGAAUACAUCGGAAUCUACUUUUUCGUGGGGGAUAACGUAGGGAAACUUACGCUAAUACCGCAUACGACCUACGGGUGAAAGCAGGGGAUCUUCGGACCUUGCGCGAUUGAAUGAGCCGAUGUCGGAUUAGCUAGUUGGCGGGGUAAGGGCCCACCAAGGCGACGAUCCGUAGCUGGUCUGAGAGGAUGAUCAGCCACACUGGAACUGAGACACGGUCCAGACUCCUACGGGAGGCAGCAGUGGGGAAUAUUGGACAAUGGGCGCAAGCCUGAUCCAGCCAUACCGCGUGGGUGAAGAAGGCCUUCGGGUUGUAAAGCCCUUUUGUUGGGAAAGAAGAGCAGCAGGUUAAUACCCCGCUGUUCUGACGGUACCCAAAGAAUAAGCACCGGCUAACUUCGUG
This 492-nucleotide ribosomal RNA is filed under the name uncultured bacterium. RNAcentral's name for it is "partial 16S ribosomal RNA". It matches the Rfam family "Bacterial small subunit ribosomal RNA", at positions 29 to 507 of the family's 1533-position model. The record is from RNAcentral.